UUACGGGAGGCAGCAGUGAGGAAUAUUGGUCAAUGGGCGGAAGCCUGAACCAGCCAUGCCGCGUGCAGGAAGACGGCCCUACGGGUUGUAAACUGCUUUUCCGGGGGAAGAAUAAGGGCGAUGCGUCGUCCGAUGCCGGUACCCCGGGAAUAAGGAUCGGCUAACUCCGUGCCAGCAGCCGCGGUAAUACGGAGGAUCCGAGCGUUAUCCGGAUUUACUGGGUUUAAAGGGUGCGUAGGCGGGCGCUUAAGUCAGCGGUGAAAUACGGGGGCUCAACCUUCGAACGGCCGUUGAUACUGGGCGCCUUGGAUUCGGUCGAGGCGGGCGGAAUGCGACAUGUAGCGGUGAAAUGCUUAGAUAUGUCGCAGAACGCCGAUUGCGAAGGCAGCUCGCCAGGCCGACAUUGACGCUGAGGCACGAAAGCGUGGGGAUCGAACAGGAUUAGAUACCCCGGUAC
RNAcentral lists this ribosomal RNA (457 nucleotides) under uncultured bacterium. RNAcentral describes it as "bacterial SSU rRNA". It matches the Rfam family "Bacterial small subunit ribosomal RNA", at positions 339 to 793 of the family's 1533-position model. The record is from RNAcentral.